GUCCACGCUGUAAAACGAUGGCAACUGGGUGUCUCGGGUAUUGACCCCCGAUGCGCCGAAGUCAACACGUUAAGUUGCCCGCCUGGGGAAGUACGGCCGCAAGGCUAAAAACUCAAAGGAAUUGACGGGGGCCCGCACAAGCGGUGGAGCAUGUGGUUUAAUUCGACGCAACGCGAAGAACCUUACCUGGACUCGAAAAUGCAGGAAGUUGGCUGAAAGGCUGAUGUGCUCGCAAGAGAGCCUGUAUCAGGUGCUGCAUGGCUGUCGU
This 268-nucleotide ribosomal RNA is filed under the name uncultured bacterium. Its description in RNAcentral is "partial 16S ribosomal RNA". It matches the Rfam family "Bacterial small subunit ribosomal RNA", at positions 793 to 1055 of the family's 1533-position model. The record is from RNAcentral.